GAGGGCCGGCGUGGGGCCGUGGUUGAGCUGCGCCCCGUUGCUCCCAGCGCCUGAUGCGGAUCUUCGUGAACGACGACCGCCACGUGAUGGCGAAGCACAGCGCCGUGUACCCGACGCAGGAGGAGCUGGAGGCGGUGCAGAACAUGGUGUCCCACACCGAGCGCGCGCUCAAGGCCGUCUCCGAUUGGAUCGACGAGCAGGAGAAGGUCGGCGGCGGGGAGCAGCCCGAGGCCGAGGCCAUGGAGACGGCGGCGGAGGAGGAGAACAAGGAGGGGGGGUAAGGACGUGGCUUCACCACGAAGAUGUGAUGUGCGGCGUUGGGUUCCCCAAGAUGUUCAGCGUGGGGUUCCCUGAGUUGUUCAGUGUUGGGUUCCCUGUGAUGUUCAGCCCUGGUUUCCCUAUGAUGUUCAGUGUUGGGUUCCCCAGGUUGUUCAGUGUUGGGUUCCCUGGGGUCCCUGUAAUGUUCAGUGCUCGGUUCCCCGUGAUGUUCAGCAUUGGGUUCCCCGUAAUGUUCAGCAUUGGUUUCUCUGAGUUGUUCAGCAUUGGGUUCCCCAAGAUGUUCAGCGUUGGGUUCCCUGAGUUGUUCAGUGUUGGGUUCCCUGGGUUCCCCGUGAUGUUCAGCGUUGGGUUCCCUGUGACGUUCAGCGUUGGGUUCCCUGUGAUGUUCAGCGUUGGGUUCCCCGAGUUGUUCAGCGUUGGGUUCCCCGUGAUGUUCAGCAUUGAGUUCCUCAGGUUAUUCAGCGUUGGGUUCCCCAAGUUGUUCAGUGUUGGGUUCCCUGGGUUCCCCGUGAUGUUCAGUGUUGGGUUCCCCGUGAUGUUCAGCGUUGGGUUCCCCGUGAUGUUCAGCGUUGGGUUCCCCGUGAUGUUCAGCGUUGGGUUCCCCGUGAUGUUCAGCGUUGGGUUCCCCGUGAUGUUCAGCGUUGGGUUCCCCGAGUUGUUUAGUGUUGGAUUCCCUGUGAUGUUCAGUGUUGGGUUCCCCGGGUUCCCCGUGAUGUUCAGUGUUGGGUUCCCCGAGUUGUUCAGUGUUGGGUUCCCCAAGAUGUUCAGCAUUGGGUUCCCCAAGAUGUUCAGUGUUGGGUUCCCCAUGAUAUUCAGUGUUGGGUUCCCUGGGUUCCCUGGGUUGUUCAGUGUUGGGUUCUUCGAGUGUUUUUGAAAUGGAGUUCCCCAAGGGCUCUUUGAGCAUUGGGUUCCUCGAGGGGUCUUUGAGGGUUGGGUUCCACGAUGCCUUUGAGGGUUGGGUUCCGCGACGUUUUUGAGUGCUGGGUUUCCCAAGGGGUCUUUGAGCGUUGGGUUCCCUGACAUUUUUGAGUGUUGUGUUCCCCGAGGGGUCUUUGAGUGUUGGGUUCCGUAGCAUCUUCGAGCAUUGGGUUCCCCAAGGGAUCUUUGAGGGUUGAGUUCCCCAAUGUUUUCGAGCAGUGCUUCCCCAAGGGGUCUUUGAAGGCUGGGUUUCCCGAAUGCCUUUGAGCAUUGGG
This 1472-nucleotide long non-coding RNA is filed under the name Numida meleagris (helmeted guineafowl). RNAcentral's name for it is "lncRNA (ENSNMEG00000002142.1)". The record is from RNAcentral. Lineage: Eukaryota; Metazoa; Chordata; Aves; Galliformes; Numididae.